AAAAGAGUCCGAUCAUUUGUGAACAGUUAGAAAUUCAAUCAUUCCUUUUCAAUUUGCAUAGCUUUUGUUUCCUUCCUUGCCUAGAACGUCCAACACUGUGUGUAACAGAGACUGGAUGAAGAAUACCCACAGUUCCCAACCCUGCUUACAUGUAGCUAGAGGAGUCACGUGCCUAGAGAGAAGAACAUUGUUUAACAAGGGCUCUGGAGAAGAGGUAAUGACAGCUGUCAGCUUGAAGUUAUGGAAACAUUUUGAACAAGAGAGACAUAGAGACUGGUGAGGAGAGAGAUUGAUUCAGAAAUGUUGGAUGAAAUUCAUCAGAUGUUUCACGCAGAUCCAACACCACACUCUAACUUGAUAAAACACCCCUGUGUUGACAUUUCUGUCUGCUUCCCACAAGGCUCACUUCCCAAAUAAAGCACUGCACUGAAGACUUUGACGAAGGGUCACCUUUCAGGGGUCACAAUGUAAGACACAACUGAAAAAUCCUGCCUGCCAGUGAAAACGACAAAAACAAAAAAGCAGAAUUGGAGAGAAGAUGGGAGAUGUGAUACACAGCGUGGUGGGUUUAAUUCCACGAACGUGGCAAUGCAGAGAGAUUAAAACACAACUUUCAAGACGCAGACAAAUGGUUUGUCUGCAUCCCCACGA
Molecule: long non-coding RNA, 651 nt
Organism: Mesocricetus auratus (golden hamster)
Lineage: Eukaryota; Metazoa; Chordata; Mammalia; Rodentia; Cricetidae
Exons: 2
Source: RefSeq, a predicted model, not a curated record